Molecule: ribosomal RNA, 613 nt
Filed under: Vishniacozyma carnescens
Lineage: Eukaryota; Fungi; Basidiomycota; Tremellomycetes; Tremellales; Bulleribasidiaceae
Description: eukaryotic LSU rRNA
Rfam family: Eukaryotic large subunit ribosomal RNA
Source: RNAcentral
UAACUAGGGAAUUCCUUAGUAACGGCGAGUGAACCGGGAUGAGCUCAAAUUUGAAAUCUGGCGUCUUUCAGGCGUCCGAGUUGUAAUCUAUAGAGGCGUUUUCCGCGCCGGACCGCGUCCAAGUCUCUUGGAAUAGAGUAUCAAAGAGGGUGACAAUCCCGUACUUGACGCGACAACCGGUGCUCUGUGAUACGUUCUCAAUGAGUCGAGUUGUUUGGGAAUGCAGCUCUAAAUGGGUGGUAAAUUCCAUCUAAGGCUAAAUAUUGGCGAGAGACCGAUAGCGAACAAGUACCGUGAGGGAAAGAUGAAAAGCACUUUGGAAAGAGAGUUAAACAGCACGUGAAAUUGUUAAAAGGGAAACGAUUGAAGUCAGUCGUGUGGGAAGUAUUCAGCCGUCUCUGGCGGUGUAUUUGCUUCUCACGGGUCAACAUCAGUUUGAUCCGGUAGAAAAAGGCGGGAAGAAGGUGGCACCCUCGGGUGUGUUAUAGCUUCCUGUCAUAUGUGCCGGACCAGACUGAGGAACGCAGCUUGCAGCAAUGCCGGGGUUCGCCCACGUACAAGCUUAGGAUGUUGACAUAAUGGCUUUAAACGACCCGUCUUGAACCACGGACCA